RNAcentral lists this ribosomal RNA (433 nucleotides) under uncultured bacterium. RNAcentral's name for it is "partial 16S ribosomal RNA". It matches the Rfam family "Bacterial small subunit ribosomal RNA", at positions 29 to 507 of the family's 1533-position model. The record is from RNAcentral.
AGCGAACGCUGGCGGCAGGCCUAACACAUGCAAGUCGAACGAACUCUUCGGAGUUAGUGGCGGACGGGUGAGUAACACGUGGGAACGUGCCUUUUGGUUCGGAAUAACUCAGGGAAACUUGUGCUAAUACCGAAUGUGCCCUUCGGGGGAAAGAUUUAUCGCCAUUAGAGCGGCCCGCGUCUGAUUAGCUAGUUGGUGAGGUAACGGCUCACCAAGGCGACGAUCAGUAGCUGGUCUGAGAGGAUGACCAGCCACACUGGGACUGAGACACGGCCCAGACUCCUACGGGAGGCAGCAGUGGGGAAUCGUGCGCAAUGGGCGAAAGCCUGACGGAGCCAUGCCGCGUGAAUGAUGAAGGUCUUAGGAUUGUAAAAUUCUUUCACCGGGGACGAUAAUGACGGUACCCGGAGAAGAAGCCCCGGCUAACUUCGUG